GCGGCUUCUACAGUAUUUUUCUCUCUAUGGAUUGCAGCUGCAGCAGUCCAAACAGCUGCAACAGUGUCGGCUUGUAGCCAGCCGAACACGCCCGGACGAUGGAGGAGCCGAGCGUCCGAUGAGACGCGAUGACUUGUCGCGCUCGCGCCAGGUACGACAAGUGUUCCUACCGUUCGCAUUGCAGGCUUGCGGCAGCUCGUACACACGCACUAACUAUUUUGAAGCCGAAAUUUUGAAAGUAGGGUGAAAAAAGAGAGAAAAAAAUGUUUGGCUUUAAGUUGAGUACACGACACAUGGCACAUAUGUUCAGGACAAAUAAAACAAGAGAUCAAUACUGUUAUAUUACAUGAAAACAUGGGACGACAUCACAGAUCCAUCCAGCCGCCGGCAGGCCCACGGGACAGCGACGUGCUGGGAUCGGUCGAGCUCACCUAAUGAUUUGUGCCUUCGGACGUGGACAACUCGCACGCCAAUGUUGCCAUGCGUUGCGUGCUCGAUCACAGUGGCAUCAGUAGCACAAGAGGCGUGUGCUCGUGCUCGUGGACGUGGAGUAAGAGUAACGGCGGCGCCGGCCUCUGCCCGUGACUCCCGGACCCGGUUGGUGACAUGCACGCAUCAUCGACGGCCGCCAUGGAUGUCAAAGCAGUGCAGGCGCUGCCCACUAGCAAGAGACGGGAAGAGGAUGCUUUCCUUGGCGUGCGCCACAGCCACCAAGCUCAUCUUGUUAAGCUAUCCUUUCCCCUCUGCACAGGUGGACAGAUAGGUACAGAUGAUAUACAAUGGAGUACUCCUAGUAUAUAUGCCAAAGGGGCAUAGGUUGAUCCUUGUGACGUCACCACAGUUGGAACAGAAAAGAGAAAAGACAUCCUUUUUUGUUCUCUCAAAGUCAGAGAGAGAGAGAGAGAGAGAGAGUAAAAUCUUCAAUCCCAAUCCGUGAGAAAGACCGUGGCCUGGAAUUAUUUCCAUGCUCAGAGCUCCGAUCAACAAAAGAUAGUGGGUGGGGGAGGGGGAAGGCGCCGUUCUGAUCCAGCUUCAGUUGAUUGGCAGCUCGAGGAGGAGGAUUGGCUGAUCUGAGAUGGUCGAAUGAAUCAUGUGAGAUCCGAAUUAUUAUCUAGAGAAAUGUACGUAAAAUGUAACAAAUGGGAGGCUCGAUUUGAUGAGGACUGAGGAGUCCAUUGACUGCUGCUACUAAUUCUAUGUACUACUCAAUGCAUACAUACAUGCUGUUCUUUGGAGGCACCGUCGAUGGUGCAUUGCUUAGUUGCUUCGAUGCAUGAUUUCAGAAAGUAAAACUCUAUCUAAGCUACCCUCCGCCGGACGCCGGCAAGGUUCAGCCAGGUCACCUGGCGUCGCCGGCGGUGCUGCUGAACCCGAUGUCGUGGCCGCCCCUCCGCAGCGUGCUGGUGAGCGACGACGAGCUGAGCGAGUCCGAGGACGAGUCCGACAGGGCGAGCCCCAGCAUGGCGUUGUAGUCCGACACGCUGUCCUGCAGGCUGAGCAGCAGCUGCUGGUUGUUAGCGCUGCUGAGGCUCAUGGACGGCCGGGCCGCCGGCACGAACGGCGGGUCCGCCUCGCCGCCCAGCACCUGCACCACGGCGCGCAUCCCGGGCCGCAGCGCCGGCUCCGGGCUGGAGCACGCCAGCCCCAGCAGCAGCACGCGCCUCGCCUCGCCCUCCUCGAACUCCCCGCCCAGCCGCGGGUCCACCGCGUCCAGCAGCCGGGCCUCCCCGUGCAGGCUCCACACCCACUCCACCAGGUUGCCGCCCUCGGCCGUGCCGGCGGCGCCGAUCGGCCGCCGCCCGCACGCCACCUCCAGCGCCAGCACGCCGAAGCUGAACACGUCGGUGCACUCGGUGGCGCGGCCCGUCAGGAGGUACUCGGGCGCCAGGUACCCCAUGGUGCCCGCCGCCGCCGUCGCGUCGGGGGACUCGCCGUGCUCCGCCUGCCGCGCCAGCCCGAAGUCCCCCAGCCGCGCGCGGUAGGCCUCGUCCAGCAUCACGUUGCUGGACUUGACGUCGCGGUGGACCACGCGCCGCUCGCACUCGUGGUGGAGGUACGCCAGCGCCGACGCCACGCCGGCCAGGGCCUCGCGCCGGUGGCGCCACGGCAGCACGGGCGCCGACGCGUCGAACAGCGCCCGGUCCAGGCUGCCGUUGCGCAUGUAGUCGUACACCAGCAGGAUCUCCCCCUUCUCGUAGCACCACCCCUGCAGCCGGAGCAGGUUGCGGUGCCGGAGCCCCGCGAUGAUGGACAGCUCCGACAGGAACUCCGACCGCGCCUGCUCGCCGCUCGCGUUGCCUCCGCCGCGCGCGCCGGUGCUGCUGCAGCGCUUCACGGCCACCAUGGCGCCCGUGUCCGGCACGAUGCCCUUGUACACGGUGCCGAACGCGCCGUUGCCGAUGACGCGGGACGCGUCGAAGCCCCGCGUGGCGGCGCUCAGCUCCUUGUAGCUGAACUCCCGCGGGGACCGCGCCAGCGCCGCCGCCGACGCCACGUUGCUGUCGCGCUUGGUGCCCACCGCCAGCGCGGUCUGGCGCCUCCUGGCCUUGGCGCGGCGCGCCAGCACCCAGACCGCCACGCCCGCGAACGAGGCCGCCACGAAGGCGCCCGCCGUGGCGGCGCCGGCCACGGCCGCGUGCACGGGCGGGCGCGGGCCGGCAUUCCUCCCCGCUGCGGCGCCCGACGGUGCGAUCGAGCCGGCCGGCGCAGCGACACUGCCUGUCGGCGGCGGCGGCGGCGGCGCCGUCGUCGUCGUCACUCCCGGGAGCACCUGGUUGGAAACGGGAGGCGGGAGCGCAGGGGACUCGGGCGGCGCCGAACGUGGGGACGGGGCCGGCGACGCGGUGGAGAAGCUCCACCACUCGAUGGCGUGCGCCUCCGUGCUCCCCUGCGUGGAGGCGGAGAAGCCGACGAACGCGGCGUCCUUGACGUCCUCGCUGAGGUCGAGCGGCGCGGACAGGACGGGCCUGGGCGGGCGCUUGGGUGCGUAGGACACGAAGACCUCCAAGGUACCGCCAGAACCGGGGGAAGCAGAGGGGUGGUAGUCGAUCCAGGCGUUGACGGUCCUCCCGCUGGCGAGGACGACGCCGGCGGCGCCGAGGUCGGCUGCGGCGGCGGAGACCAUGGAGCCGAGAUCCAGGGCGACGUGGUUGCCGUUGGGGUCGGCGAACUGGGCGUCCAUGAGCGUGUCGAACUCGACGGCGGCGGCGUCGGUGGCGACGGACACGCCGAUGUAGGCGCCCGCGUCGCCGAGCGUGGCCCCGUCGGUGGCGAGCACGAAGGCCAGCCCCCCGCCGACGGAGGACGGGUUGAGCGUGGCCACGGUGAAGGCGAACUGCGUG
RNAcentral lists this unclassified non-coding RNA (3341 nucleotides) under Zea mays. RNAcentral's name for it is "misc RNA Zm00001eb355070". Lineage: Eukaryota; Viridiplantae; Streptophyta; Magnoliopsida; Poales; Poaceae. The record is from RNAcentral.